UGCCAGCAGCCGCGGUAACACCAGCGCCACGAGUGGGAACCACGUUUAUUUGGCCUAAAGCGUUCGUAGCCGGUUGAGUAAAUCUUCUGUGAAAUCGUUGUUCUUAAUGCAACGGCGUGCAGAAGACACUACUUGACUAGGAACCGGGAGGGGUUAGAAGUAUGCCAAGGGGAGCGGUAAAAUGCUACAAUCCUUGGUAGACUACCUUUGGCGAAGGCGUCUAACUAGAACGGGUUCGACGGUGAGGAACGAAAGCUAGGGGAGCGAUCCGGAUUAGAUA
Molecule: ribosomal RNA, 280 nt
Filed under: uncultured bacterium
Lineage: Bacteria
Description: partial 16S ribosomal RNA
Rfam family: Archaeal small subunit ribosomal RNA
Source: RNAcentral